GGAGUUAGGAAAUGUAGGAAUGUUAAUAGCAUUUCUAUUUGACUAAGGCUCCAGGGGAAGCCACGGCUAACUCUGUGCCAGCAGUCGCGGUAAUACAGAGGUGGCAAGCGUUGUUCGGAAUUAUCGGGCGUAAAGAGCACGUAGGCGGCCCUGCCAGUCAGUUGCGAAAGCCUUCCGCUCAACGGAAGAACGGCAGCUGAUACUACAGGGCUAGAGUACGGGAGGGGAGAGUG
This 233-nucleotide ribosomal RNA is filed under the name uncultured anaerobic ammonium-oxidizing bacterium. RNAcentral's name for it is "partial 16S ribosomal RNA". It matches the Rfam family "Bacterial small subunit ribosomal RNA", at positions 439 to 663 of the family's 1533-position model. The record is from RNAcentral.